Molecule: RNA transcript, 7873 nt
Organism: Grus americana (Whooping crane)
Lineage: Eukaryota; Metazoa; Chordata; Aves; Gruiformes; Gruidae
Gene: CDCA7
Gene name: cell division cycle associated 7
Exons: 21
Source: RefSeq, a predicted model, not a curated record
ACAGGGGUGGGCGGACGGGCGCGGGGCGGGCACGCCGGGUACCCGAUCCCCAGGGGGUGUCGGCUGUAUCUGCCAGGACGCGGGCGCCAACGCGGGAAAGGCGCCGCCGGGCCCCGCCUCCCGCGGUCCCAGCCGCUUUGGCGCGAACCUUCAGUUCCGUGGUGCUUGCCCUGCCGCCGCCAGCAUGGGUCCGUCGCGCUCGCAGCGCCGAGGUUGUUCAGGAAGGAAAAACUUCAUAGCAUUCCGAAAUACGAAACUGAUUCCCAUGGAAACAUCCUCAUCCUCUGAUGACAGUUGUGACAGUUUUGGCUCUGAUAAUUUUGCAAACACAAAAUGCAAGUUUAGGUCGGAUAUUAGAGAAGAGCUGGCAAAAAUUUUUCACGAAGCCUCUGAUGAUGAAUCUUUCUGUGGUUUUUCUGAAAAUGAGAUUCAAGAUGCAUUGAAAUUAGAAUCGGAUUCAGAAGAGAAUGAUACAAGUGCUGAGAGUGAGGUAGCUCAGAGACGGCAGAAAUGCCCUGUUCCUCUAAAAGUAGCCAUGAAGUUUCCACCUCGAAGAUCGGAGAGGAGGAAGGGUGAAAUGGAACCUCUUCCUGAAAAGCUGGUGCCUGUUCCAGAUUCGGACUCUGACUCUGAAGAAAAGGGUGCCAUAUUUUUAGAAAAAAGAGCUUUAAACAUAAAGGAAAACAAAGCAAUGCUUGCAAAACUAAUGGCUGAGUUGCAAAAUGUUUCUGGUAUCUUUGGUGAGAGAAAAUCAUUGACAACUGUCAGUCAUGGACCAAAGCGACUUCCAAGACGUUCAUUGCCCAGAAGUGCUUUGAGGAGGAACCCAGACAGAAGUUCUCGGCCUCACACAAGAUCGAGGUCCCUGAUUGAAGGUCCUCCUACUCCUUUACCAGAAGAGGAUGAUGAUGACCGGUAUAUAUUAGUGAGAAGACGACGGAUGUCUGAUGAAUACCUGGAGCAUGAAGCCCGAACUCCCAGGAGGGGUCACCGUGGUGCCAUGGCUUUUCCACACAUUGUGCGCCCAGUUGAGGAGAUAACAGCGGAAGAGCUGAAUAAUAUUUGUAGUUCUGCAAGAGACAAAGUAUAUAACAGGGCCAUGGGAUCCACCUGUCAUCAGUGUCGCCAGAAAACCAUAGACACCAAGACAAAUUGUCGUAACCCUGAUUGCAUAGGAGUACGGGGCCAAUUCUGUGGGCCGUGCCUCCGCAAUAGGUAUGGGGAAGAUGUCAGAACGGCAUUGCUGGAUCCGACCUGGAGGUGCCCACCAUGUCGUGGAAUCUGCAACUGUAGCUUCUGCAGACAGCGAGAUGGCCGAUGUGCUACAGGUGUCCUGGUCUAUCUGGCCAAGUACCAUGGCUAUGACAAUGUCCAUGCCUACUUGAAAAGUCUGAAACAAGAACUUGGAAUGGAAGACUGAAGCUGUGACUGCCUUUAAAUUACGUACUCUUUCACCAAUGUCAUAUUAUUGCCUACAGUGAAUUGUUUAAUCAAAUAAGAUUACAAAGCCAGUGCUUGCCUUCCCUCCCCUUUUGGGUAAAAAAGGAUAAAGAACUUUCACUUAUCUCAGUGCAAAUCAUACUUGAGAAAACUGUUUAAUGAAGGUCUUUGCCCACAGGCCAUUGUUUUCUUUUUAAACAACUUUGCAAAUCACAUAGCAUCAGUCCUUGCUUUCAUGCCAAUAACUUUUUGUUUUCCUGAAAGGAGACAGGGCUUUAAGCCAUUGGAGUUUCAUUCAUGCAGUGAUCUGUGCUGCAGGUUUAUUUAUGCUUUGAAGCUGAUCACAAAAAGAUACAGAUGUUCUGAAAAUUCAGGGCACUGUUAUGCGAGUAAAGGUGUGUGCUUAACUCCAGGCCAACUUCUGCUGCAAUACAGACUUUUACUGAACAUAAAUGAUCAAAUAGAAGCUAAGAAUUCUCUAAAACAACAAUGCAUUCUUCAGUUCAAAAAGGAAGCUCUAAAAGUUGUAGCUGAGCAGUCUCCAAGCACUAAUAUUUGGUUUUAUAGAGCACUUAAAGUGCACAUUGGCCAUUUUAAGAGAGAUUCUCCGAGUGACUUAAAAAAUGCAGCAGAAGCAGUUGGGGGUGGCACAUUGUAUUUUUGCUCAGAUGAGGAGGCCACUGCUGAAAGCUACCACAGCACUAGCAUUGCCUAGUGAUGACAGUGAUGUGAAUGUACUGGUAUACAUUGUGGAGUGACCACUGUCUAAAACAGAAUGUACUUUUUGUUAAAUUACUGUUUUUGUGGGUUCUCCCUGCUUUUGCUGCAACUGCAGAGCUGCUUCUUUGCAGAAUUGGCACUGGUCCUGAGGAAGAGGGAUAUCUCCAGACCAGGGCUUGGUUAAGUAAAGGGGUAGUGGUUCAUGUGGUUGUUGGUCAACUACAAGUGGAUGAAAGAUGGUAACUUGUUGAAUUUGGUUAUCAGGAAAAGGAGCAAUGACAAAUAAUCACUGGAAUCAGAAGCCUGAGAUAUUUUACCUCUGAAAAAAAUUGAAAAGCAAGGACUUCCAGCUUGAAUGUGAAUAGCUGUGCAAUCUGAGGUGGAGAGUGCUCUACCCUCUAGUCUUUUUAAACUAGAUGCCUACAUCCUGAGCUGAGGAGGAUAUUAUCGUUUUGGACACAAGUCAAAGUCAGCUGGGCCUAGUGAGAGGAGUCACAUGAGACUGGCAGAAGACUAUACAAAGCUGGCCUGUAGUGAGAGAGGAAACAGGAAAGAAGCGAUCAAGCAGUGACAGCUGUCCCCAGAUACUCUACUGGGAAAAUACAGAAAUUGGAGCAGCAGAAUGUAACAUGAAAAGCUGUAGCGGUGGAAAAAGGCCAGCUGGUUCAACAUGCCAGUCCUUUUAAAGCAGGCUUUUCCUGAACUUCAGAACAUGUAAGGUUAAAUCAGAAGCUGCUGAGAGUAAACUGCUAAGAAAAACAUGCAAAUAAUAAACAAAAUGAAGCUGCAUUCUUUCCUCUGAAGAGAGGCAGAAAAAGAAGGAGGCUACAGAUCACUUAAACUAUGAUCAGUGAAACAGGGCAGCUGAUCAGAGGGAUGCAGCCUUUAGAACAAUGUUAGCUCUUCCAGACCCAGGAAGCAGAAUAGUAUUUUUCAAACUGAAGACUUCACUCCCAUCGUAACAGAUCAAACCAUCAUUCAGACCAGCAGAUCCCGUCCUUUCUCAGCCUGAUGCUUCUCCUUCCUCCUCGCAGUGGGAGGCUCCUGGCAGCUGGGGACAGAGAGCCACGGCCGUGGGAUGUCGCAGGGCUUGCUGGCAGGUGAGCUGCUGCUGGCUGGGGUACCGGUGCCUGAGGAGAAGGAAGACGGGAGCUCACAGUUUGCUGCCAUGGACGUACGGGGCCUGUUUCACUCCUGCCUUCCUCUUCGACGCGCCUCUUUCCCAGGGACCGGGCACAAAACCCUGCUCAGUGGGCGGACGCAGGUGGUUGCAGUCGGCCGAGUCGCCCCCAGCCCCACAGCUAUUUCUGCUACAGCUUCCUGUCCUUGACCCAACGAUACAUUGUGAAGUUCUCCUGAGUCAAUGAAUCCUGGUAAAAUGCAGUAAAGGAUUUAAGGUUAUCGUCUGUCUCUCUCUAACUUCUGACAUCUCUUUAUAACAAGAAAGAGUCACAGCCAGCUGUAACAGGAGGGCAGCACAAUGAAUCCUGGUUCCGAAGACGCUGUGGGUCCCUCAGUUACGCCCAAUGCCUUAUUCUUGAAAGUAACUGGGUGCAGCAGCAGAUGUCAGCGAAGGAUGGGCACCUACAAUGUGCUGUUUGCAAAGCAAGGAAGCUGGAACCCAAGGGUAUGGUCCCCUCUGAAGAGCUGAAUAACACACUGGCCUUGGACCAACAAAGUUUGCUAAGGCAAAUACUUCUAAAGAAGAUCCAGGAUUUGAAAACUAGGAGAGUAGCAGAGCUCUGCUGAAUUUGCCUCUGCAAAAUUUCUGACAGCAUUUGGUUCUGCAAUGUCCCGGCAUGGAGUGCUCCUGCAUUUCCUCUGCAGUCAAGGAGAACAGAGGAUACUCAGGACUUCUGCCUUUUGAAGGAUCAAGCUCUUGAAGAACCCCCACCGUUAGGAAUAUGACCUCUUCAGGUACUUAAAAUUAUUUAAUUAGCAUUAUAAACAUUAGAAAGAACGCAGUUGACAAAUCAUUCUAGCAAAAGUAAUGGAGCUGGAAUUGGAGGUCUCACAGAAUUUUCUACAAAAGAUAGUGUUUCUGAAAUAUUUUUUUUAAUUGUUUUAAAAGGCUGUAGAAAGAAGGGAAGCAAGCAAGCUAUCAGGCAGUAGGGUUUUUUCCCCUCAGUGGUUUUUGUGAACUAAGAAUAGAGAGAACACAUAGCAAGCAUCUUGCUAUUAAAUUUGCCUGCGACAAAUAGUGCAGCUGCAUGUAGUGUGCAAGAACAUCUGUAGAAUCAUGACACAUGCAGAAUCCCCCACACUAAGAGCGUGACAUUAUACUGAAAACAAUUCAGUUGUAAAAGAAAUAUAAAUCCAUUUUAUAUAAUCCUUCUCCACCUUCUCCUCCCCCUUCUCUUUUGAAUUACGUUAACUAAAGGAUUCAGUCACUCCUUCGUGGCAUUGGUAAAAAUCACAAUAUAAAAGUGACUAAGCAUUUCAGAAUUGUCCCCUUCUUUCAUUAACAGCUAGAAUGCAAGUAUGUCUUUCCUGAAAAAAACAACGUUUAAGAAAGAAUAACCAGGGGCAGAAAUGCACUAGACACCAGAGCUUACUCCAAGUGGAACUUGACACAGUUCGCAGAUGCAAUUUAACUCUUCAGAAAUCAAGGGGUGAUUUUCUGUGUCUCUGUAUCUUGUGCAGUCGUUCCAUUCAAAGUGAGCAGUAGGAUUGCUACCAGUCUUUACUUGACCCAUGUAAAUGACUGCAUGAAGUACAGUGAUACAGAAAAAUAUGUCUAAAAUGUAUAGAUUUGUAAAGUAAGGGGAAUCUCCCUGCCUGGGAUUUGGUGAGUUCUCACAGCUUACCAUUCAAAUGCAGCGAUUGCGGAAUUCAGUACAAUUUCCUUUAAGCUCCAUGCUGUCACAAAGAAGGAUUGUGCCUUUUUCAAAAUCCUAGAAGGCUUUUAUUUUCCCCAAAGUUAUUUUAACAAAAUGUUCACUUCCAUCUUCUAGAUAUUCUACUGCUUUCUCUCUGAAAUACUUUCUUUGCAAUCUUUAGAUUUAUUAAAGUAAGAAAUUUUAUAACAGCAAUGCAAACACUGAUUUUUGUGUAAGUCUGAGGUUGGCUAAAGACUGUGUGAUGAUAAUGCCAUGACAAGGCAAAUGCAUGCAUGGUGUUAAUGCCUGGAUCAUCAUUAACGUGUUUCUUUGGAAACAUCUUACUUUUAGUCGUUAGGACAGCUCAGGCAUGAUAACUACAUGACGCUCCGAGAACAUUUACACAUCCUUUAUGCAUAUUGCAGGGCAAGACUGAGGCUGGAAGAGUCAGCCAGCUGGGUCAUAAUUUUCAACUCUAUGCCCAUUAAAUUCCUGCAACCUAACUGCAAAAACACAACCCUUGAGAGAGAUUUCCUUAAUGAUUUUAUUGAUAGCGUAUAUUUUGAGUUUACUGACUUGCUGAUACUAUUUGGUCAAGUCCUUUGAACUCUGCUUCAUUCGCCAUCUGGACAAAGCCUCGUUUUCCUAUUUCAGAGAGACAUACUGUGCAUAAAUGAGAAGGUUUUUAAAGCGCUUUGGUGAUGGAAAAGAUAUGCAAGUACAGCUGAUACCACCUGACAACAUUUGCUUACUAUUAAGGGUAUAUUUAUCUCUUAAUUAAAUUAGAUAUGAUUCCUCAUUUAAUAAUGCAAUGAUUUUUAACAUCCACGUCCCAGUUUGCAUGUUCAGUAACUGCUUGCACCAGAUAUGUAAUCACGUGCAGCACCAUAGCGGAAAGGAAUGUCAUACGCCCUGCAAAGCAGUUACAGAGUUGGAAAAUGCUUUCAUUAACGUCUCAGUAUCCCUGACUUUCACGUGGCCAGAUGUUACUGCUAUCAACUGUGGCCACGCCAAGCUAGAAAUGAGCGGCUGGGUGAUGCAUCCUGCUUGCCCCGAGUUUCACUGCACUGAACCUUCCACUGCUGGUGCUUGUGUUUCACCUGGUCCAGCAGAUGCAAACAGCUCAAUGUAGUCCUGCGCUCCAGUUAAUAAUGCAAAUAGCGAUACGAUUUUUAACAAGUUAGCACUAUAAGGAGUUGUGGAAAAAAGUACCAGGGAAAGAUACAUUUCUACAGUAUGUAAAAGGAAAUACCUUAACUCCCUUCUUGCAGCUUUUACUUUAAAUAAAGAGUUUUAUGGUGAUUUAAAAAGUUUUAUUUUAUUUUUCUUGUGAUGGGGACAGUGAUUCUUGGAGAGUAGACACAUACACAUGGAUACAUUCACCAUGGAUAAGUGAUUUGAAAAAUACAGAUUAUGAAAUAGAUACGAUUCUAAAAAAAUCACAUAUUUGUUUUAGACCCAAAGGAGCCAAAUUCAGCAUCAUAAUGAUUAUUAUUGCAGCUGAUCUAAUUCUUUCAGUUGUUUGUCUUCAUUUCUGUUUCUGCUGCUGUGAGACUCGUUGUUUACAGCUUCUCAGCCAGAAGAAUAUCCCGAAGGAAAUUACUGUCAGCAGCCAAAAAGAGUAUCAGUAUUUCAUCCCUAAAGCACUGUCAACUUAAUUUUAAAGUAAUUUGUCUGCUUUACGAGUUCAGGCUGAAGUGAUAAGUUUGCAAAUCCAUAAAUCAAACCAUAUUAAUAAAGGUAAUACAUAUCUCUUUUUCAAAUAAUCUAUUUUCCUAAAACUUCGUUGUAAGCGUAGAUUUUAGUAAUUAAAUCUUCAAUUACUAUAAACAGGAGAAAGAAGUAAAAUUGUGAACUGUAUUCUGUACGUCAUAGGAAGGUCUAAAAUGGAAAAGCUAGCUAACUGCUGCCUACUCACUGCACAUCCAGGUUUAUGACUGACUAUUUCCUACAAUUGUUUCUGGCAGGAGCCUUAUACAGGCCACGUCAGCCUCCUUCACUGAAGAAAAAUGUUGGGGUGCAAACCCCUGGUUGGUGGAGCUAGCUGUUGAGCAGAAAUACCAGGAUGGUACCCAAAGCAUCAUACCUCAAAGCGUUCCCAAAUUCAGGUCAUACCUGCAGUGCAUCACGUGGAUGCAGAUGCGUUGUGCCAUCUGCAUGUGGAGGUGCUUAAAGGCUUCACGGUGCUCUGAUGAAGUUGCUGUUUGAUUUGCAGUUGUUAACACUCAGUUUCGGCAUUCAGGCAGGGAAGCUGUGUGCUGCUGAAGACAGCAAAAAGCUGACAAAAAGUAGCAAGUACGUCCAGGAGCUUGAACCUUAGUGAAAGGUCUACUGGAUGACAUGUCUGUUGCAAGGCAGCUCCUCCCUGAAGGCAAGGCCCUGCAGGCAGCCGGCUGAGUGCCCUUUGCCUCACCUCACCUCACCUGCAGAGCCUUUGAUGCAAAAGGCCUAGGGCCAGGAGAAGGAAUUCAUUUUGCAUUGCUUCGAAUACCUUAGGAUUCGAUGGUGUUCAGGUGUGGGGUUUUGCUGAAAUUGGUUGUAAUGAUGAAGGUCAUUUAUGAAUUCAAAAGCUGAAUCCAAACUGGUGUUCUGGUGGCCUCUGAAGCCUAGGAAUGUUCUGCACAACUCUUGGAUGCCUGUCAUGGGUGUAUUAACAUCUCUGCAUCCACAGUUCAGCUCUGUCUAUCUACUGGCCAUAAGCAGAUUUAACAGAUUCAAAAUGGAAAGCAGAUUUGCAUACAAGGGUGACUUGUAAGCUAACGAAUGGUAUCUGGGAACACCGAGGGAAUUCUGUUCCUAGCGGUGUUCUGACUCCAGAGCCAUCUUCUGGGUUGUAGUGACGUUCUUCUAGGUUUAUAACAUAAAUGAAUUUACCUUGUGUGUUCCCCUAAACA